CCCGCCCCCCCCCCCCCGUUGUUUCCCUUUUGUUUCCAUGUCACUGUUGCUUUGUGUUUGCUGCUGUCACAAAGGACUGAGUCUUCAGAGGGCAAGGACGAACAUUGUGCUCUUGUGCCUCUGGUUAGUGUUUGAUUAGCACCUGACGCUAACUAAGCGCCAAUCCAGGUCCCGGGGACUAAUUCAGCAAGAUGGACCCGCGUCUGUGUCUUUGAGGAUUUCUAUUCCCACUGAGAAAACUUAGUAACAGAAAAGGCGUCAUUGCCUGAUUAGGAUGAGUGACAUUUCUCACACAAGCCAUCUUCCCUGCUCAUAUGUUAGAAAGCCCCAUACCUGCCGUGUGCACUCCGUGAAGAUGUGAUAGAAAUAAGAAAUGAAACCGGACUGAUUGACUUGCCCUCUCCAUGUGUGUCCCUCAGCCUCCGCCUUCUUGUGUCUUGGAAUAAUCACUUUAAGAGAAGCCGUGGAUUCAUUGCCAAAGUCAGCUCCUCCCUCCCACCCGGGCAGCGCUUUCUCAUAUUCUGUAUGUGAUGGGUUCAUUAGAAAGAAUAAAAAUCGAUUUUAUUGGG
This is a long non-coding RNA of Mesocricetus auratus (golden hamster), 569 nucleotides long. RefSeq lists it as uncharacterized. The transcript has 2 exons. Lineage: Eukaryota; Metazoa; Chordata; Mammalia; Rodentia; Cricetidae. The record is from RefSeq and is a predicted model, not a curated record.